This 863-nucleotide long non-coding RNA is filed under the name Heterocephalus glaber (naked mole-rat). RNAcentral's name for it is "lncRNA (ENSHGLG00100042433.1)". The record is from RNAcentral. Lineage: Eukaryota; Metazoa; Chordata; Mammalia; Rodentia; Bathyergidae.
CCCCGAGGUGCCAGCCUCACGCGCAGGGACCGUGCGCCCGCGGCCAGCUGUUCCCGCUCGGGAGCAGCCAGGCGGGGCCGGGGAGGAGCCGCCCCGCGCACCUCGGCUCCGCACCUCGGCCGCGCCCUCCGCCCGCCUCACCGUCCGCAGCUGCCCCGCCGCCCGCCCGGGCCUCCGCCGCCUCCAGUGGUGUCGCCUCGACCGCCGCCGCCACCGCGGCAAAGCCAGGUUGCAAAUUGGCAGAGGAAACCAGCCUGGAGCACUGGCCUUGGAGCAGGUUUGGGGAGCAGUGCUAGAGUGCAGUUUUAGAGCUGGCAGCAGCAGCAGCCCAGGAGGAGGCUAAUGACCCGAAGCUGCCAUUCAUUCAGUUUGAGAACCUAAAUGACUUCAAUAUUUGGUACAGAAGAAACAAGUUGGGCAUGGUGGCACACGAUGUAAUCUCAGCAAAAGUUGAAAUCCCAGAAGAAGCAAGCUUACCUCCAGCAUCAGAGGCCUUCUCAACAGAACUGAUGUAUCUGGCAACUUUUUCUAGGACAGGCACAUUUAGUGUCAUUCACUAACCUGAACAACAAACAGGAGCGUCUAUGUCUUUGGAUAAAUUUGUUUAUAAAUGUUAUUAAAUAGUAUUGUAAUAAUGAAAAAAAAAAUUUUUUUUAAAGGCUGAGGAUGUAGCUCAGUGGCUAAACACUUACCUAGCAGGCCUGGUGCCUCCGGAUCAAUCCCCACUACUCCAAAAAAUGAAACGAGGGGUCAAUUCAUGGCAUUCACUUCACUCACAUUGUUGAGCAACCAUCACCCCUAUUUACAAUAUUUUCACCACUAGGGAAGGAAACCUGUAUCCAUUAGCCAAUCGCUCUCCAUCU